This 468-nucleotide ribosomal RNA is filed under the name uncultured bacterium. RNAcentral describes it as "partial 16S ribosomal RNA". It matches the Rfam family "Bacterial small subunit ribosomal RNA", at positions 28 to 507 of the family's 1533-position model. The record is from RNAcentral.
GACGAACGCUGGCGGCGUGCUUAACACAUGCAAGUCGAACGGAAAGGCCCUGCUUUUGUGGGGUGCUCGAGUGGCGAACGUGUGUGUCACACGUGUGUCCCCUGCCCUUGUCUCUGGGAUAACUUCAGGAAACUGGGGCUAAUACCGGAUAGGAGCUCCUGCUGCAUGGUGUGGGUUGGAAAGUUUCGGCGGUUGGGGAUGGACUCGCGGCUUGUCAGCUUGUUGGUGUGGUGGUGGCUUACCAUGGCUUUGACGGGUAGCCGGCCUGAGAGGGUGACCGGCAACAUUGGGACUGAGAUACGGCACAGAGUACUACGGGAGGCAGCAGUAGGGAAUAUUGCACGAUGGGCGGACGCCGGAUGCAGCAACGCCGCGUGCGGGAUGACGGCCUUCGGGGUGUAGACCGCUUUCACCUGUGACGAAGCGUGAGUGACGGUAAUGGGUAAAGAAGCGCCGGCUAACUACGUG